Long non-coding RNA from Arachis ipaensis, 932 nucleotides. RefSeq lists it as uncharacterized. The record is from RefSeq and is a predicted model, not a curated record. Lineage: Eukaryota; Viridiplantae; Streptophyta; Magnoliopsida; Fabales; Fabaceae.
UUGGUUUUUAUCAUUUUUUUACCUAUUAGUAUUACAUUUUCUAAGAUCCAGUUAUAGGAUUUUUUUUUUUUUGGUGUUUAUUUUCUCGGUAUACCCUCACGCCAUUUGUUACUACGAUACCUUUUCUAUCUAACAAAGUCUCCUUUGAUAAUUCUUAAGCCAAGUAUCACAAUUCUAUUAGUAAGUCUAACCAAACUACAAAAAGCAAUUAAGUUUAAUGGCACAAAUUACAAAAACCAAACACGAUCCUAAUUUAUCCACAAAUUAUACACUCCUUGAUUAUAUGGUGUAUCCAACCAUAUAAGCACCAUUUUUCUCCUUCUUGAAGAAUCAACUUUUGAUAAGAUUGAAAGGUAAACAUCUUGCACAUCUUGGACAGCUGCUUAUCAAAGUCGAUCAGUUUUCCUUCCCUGCAAAAAUUUGAUAUAAUUAUAAAGAAGAGAAAAUGAUAAAAGCGGCUGGUACCAAUCAUGUAAAGAACCAGACAUAUUUAAGUCUCGAAAAAAGGUAUAUCAUUGCUGGUUCUGUUCAAUGUAGUUAAAAGCAUCGUUGAUGUAAUUGAAGCAAUAGCAAUUUCAUGGAUAAUAGAGUUGGUUUAAAUUCUUAUCUAAUUAUUUUUUUUUCUUUCAUUUUUUUUUACUUCAAAAAUAUGUACCAUUAAUCUAUUCUUUGACUCUAAAUUUUAAUUGUGACAUUUGAUUUGCAAUAGAAAAAGAAAACUUUCAUUUUUUUUUUCUUAUCAGAAAAUGUGCAGCAGGAAGAAAUAGCUUCAACGAGCUAAAGUGAUUGCACAAAGAUGACAACCUAACUUCUUUGAUUUGCUUCUGUCAAAUCAGAUUUGCUUUAUAAAACACCCUUUUCACCCUUGAUUUGAGGGUAAAUCAUGUGGAUAUCGGGCUACUGGAGGGAAGAGAGUUUGUAAUAUAAUUUGG